AAAUAAAUAAAUCUUUUUUUAAAAAAUAAAAUUAAUUGAGGUCAAUGAGAUGCCUGUAGUCGGUGCCUUGAUGGAUUCUGGAUCCUGUUUGUUACCAAACUUGCUACACUUACAUGCAGAUAAGGGUGACUGGUCAUCGCCAUGAGUCCUGGGCUCUGACUUCAGAAGGCUGAUCCAUACUUGCACCCUCCUGCUCUGUGAUGCCAA
Molecule: long non-coding RNA, 207 nt
Organism: Lontra canadensis (Northern American river otter)
Lineage: Eukaryota; Metazoa; Chordata; Mammalia; Carnivora; Mustelidae
Exons: 3
Source: RefSeq, a predicted model, not a curated record